CCUACGGGUGGCAGCAGUGGGGCAUAUUGGGCAAUGGAGGCCACUCUGACCCCGCAACGCCGCGUGAAUGAUGAAGGUCUUCGGAUUGUAAAGUUCUUUUCUAAGGGAAGAAGAAAUUGACGGUACCUUAGGAAUAAUCCUCGGCUAACUACGUGCCAGCAGCAGGGUUAAUACGUAGGAGGAAAGCUUUAUCCGGAAUGACUGGGGGGAAAGGGUGCGGGGGUGGUUUGACAAGUUAGUAGCGCAACUCCGGAGCACAACUUCGGAACUACUAAUAAAACUGUUGGACUUGAGUGCAGGAGGGGCAAUCGGAAUUCCUAGUGUAGCGGUGGAAUGCGUAGAUAUUAGGAGGAACACCAGUGGCGAAGGCGGAUUGCUAGACUGUAACUGACACUGAGGCACGAAAGCGUGGGGAGCAAACAGGAUUAGAUACCCCAGUAGUC
This 443-nucleotide ribosomal RNA is filed under the name uncultured bacterium. Its description in RNAcentral is "partial 16S ribosomal RNA". It matches the Rfam family "Bacterial small subunit ribosomal RNA", at positions 338 to 795 of the family's 1533-position model. The record is from RNAcentral.